This 1522-nucleotide ribosomal RNA is filed under the name metagenome. RNAcentral's name for it is "bacterial SSU rRNA". It matches the Rfam family "Bacterial small subunit ribosomal RNA". The record is from RNAcentral.
AGAGUUUGAUCAUGGCUCAGAUUGAACGCUGGCGGCAGGCCUAACACAUGCAAGUCGAACGGUAACAGGAAACAGCUUGCUGUUUCGCUGACGAGUGGCGGACGGGUGAGUAAUGUCUGGGAAACUGCCUGAUGGAGGGGGAUAACUACUGGAAACGGUAGCUAAUACCGCAUAACGUCGCAAGACCAAAGAGGGGGACCUUCGGGCCUCUUGCCAUCAGAUGUGCCCAGAUGGGAUUAGCUAGUAGGUGGGGUAACGGCUCACCUAGGCGACGAUCCCUAGCUGGUCUGAGAGGAUGACCAGCCACACUGGAACUGAGACACGGUCCAGACUCCUACGGGAGGCAGCAGUGGGGAAUAUUGCACAAUGGGCGCAAGCCUGAUGCAGCCAUGCCGCGUGUAUGAAGAAGGCCUUCGGGUUGUAAAGUACUUUCAGCGGGGAGGAAGGGAGUAAAGUUAAUACCUUUGCUCAUUGACGUUACCCGCAGAAGAAGCACCGGCUAACUCCGUGCCAGCAGCCGCGGUAAUACGGAGGGUGCAAGCGUUAAUCGGAAUUACUGGGCGUAAAGCGCACGCAGGCGGUUUGUUAAGUCAGAUGUGAAAUCCCCGGGCUCAACCUGGGAACUGCAUCUGAUACUGGCAAGCUUGAGUCUCGUAGAGGGGGGUAGAAUUCCAGGUGUAGCGGUGAAAUGCGUAGAGAUCUGGAGGAAUACCGGUGGCGAAGGCGGCCCCCUGGACGAAGACUGACGCUCAGGUGCGAAAGCGUGGGGAGCAAACAGGAUUAGAUACCCUGGUAGUCCACGCCGUAAGCGAUGUCGACUUGGAGGUUGUGCCCUUGAGGCGUGGCUUCCGGAGCUAACGCGUUAAGUCGACCGCCUGGGGAGUACGGCCGCAAGGUUAAAACUCAAAUGAAUUGACGGGGGCCCGCACAAGCGGUGGAGCAUGUGGUUUAAUUCGAUGCAACGCGAAGAACCUUACCUGGUCUUGACAUCCACGGAAGUUUUCAGAGAUGAGAAUGUGCCUUCGGGAACCGUGAGACAGGUGCUGCAUGGCUGUCGUCAGCUCGUGUUGUGAAAUGUUGGGUUAAGUCCCGCAACGAGCGCAACCCUUAUCCUUUGUUGCCAGCGGUCCGGCCGGGAACUCAAAGGAGACUGCCAGUGAUAAACUGGAGGAAGGUGGGGAUGACGUCAAGUCAUCAUGGCCCUUACGACCAGGGCUACACACGUGCUACAAUGGCGCAUACAAAGAGAAGCGACCUCGCGAGAGCAAGCGGACCUCAUAAAGUGCGUCGUAGUCCGGAUUGGAGUCUGCAACUCGACUCCAUGAAGUCGGAAUCGCUAGUAAUCGUGGAUCAGAAUGCCACGGUGAAUACGUUCCCGGGCCUUGUACACACCGCCCGUCACACCAUGGGAGUGGGUUGCAAAAGAAGUAGGUAGCUUAACCUUCGGGAGGGCGCUUACCACUUUGUGAUUCAUGACUGGGGUGAAGUCGUAACAAGGUAACCGUAGGGGAACCUGCGGUUG